CCUACGGGUGGCAGCAGUGGGGAAUAUUGGACAAUGGGCGAAAGCCUGAUCCAGCCAUGCCGCGUGUGUGAAGAAGGCCUUCGGGUUGUAAAGCACUUUCAGUGGGGAAGAAAGCCUUGGGGCUAAUACCCUCGAGGAAGGACAUCACCCACAGAAGAAGCACCGGCUAACUCCGUGCCAGCAGCCGCGGUAAUACGGAGGGUGCGAGCGUUAAUCGGAAUUACUGGGCGUAAAGCGCGCGUAGGCGGUCUGAUAAGCCGGUUGUGAAAGCCCCGGGCUCAACCUGGGAACGGCAUCCGGAACUGUCAGGCUAGAGUGCAGGAGAGGAAGGUAGAAUUCCCGGUGUAGCGGUGAAAUGCGUAGAGAUCGGGAGGAAUACCAGUGGCGAAGGCGGCCUUCUGGACUGACACUGACGCGGAGGUGCGAAAGCGUGGGUAGCAAACAGGAUUAGAUACCCGAGUAGUC
RNAcentral lists this ribosomal RNA (465 nucleotides) under Vreelandella stevensii. Its description in RNAcentral is "partial 16S ribosomal RNA". It matches the Rfam family "Bacterial small subunit ribosomal RNA", at positions 338 to 795 of the family's 1533-position model. The record is from RNAcentral. Lineage: Bacteria; Pseudomonadati; Pseudomonadota; Gammaproteobacteria; Oceanospirillales; Halomonadaceae.